This 830-nucleotide ribosomal RNA is filed under the name uncultured archaeon. RNAcentral's name for it is "bacterial SSU rRNA". It matches the Rfam family "Archaeal small subunit ribosomal RNA", at positions 21 to 859 of the family's 1478-position model. The record is from RNAcentral.
AGGCCACUGCUAUCGGAGUUCGAUUAAGCCAUGCGAGUCGAGAGGUGUAAGACCUCGGCAUACUGCUCAGUAACACGUGGACAACCUACCCUGUAGUGAGGGAUAACCCCGGGAAACUGGGGAUAAUACCUCAUAGACUAUGGAUGCUGGAAUGCUCUGUAGUUCAAAGGUCCGCCGCUUCAGGAUGGGCCUGCGGCCGAUUAGGUAGUUGUUGGGGUAACGGCCCAACAAGCCUGUAAUCGGUACGGGUUGUGGGAGCAAGAGCCCGGAGAUGGAUUCUGAGACACGAAUCCAGGCCCUACGGGGCGCAGCAGGCGCGAAAACUUUACAAUGCGAGCAAUCGUGAUAAGGGAACUCCGAGUGCCUGUAAAAUCAGGCUGUCCGCCAGUGUAAAUAACUGGUGAAGAAAGGGCCGGGCAAGACCGGUGCCAGCCGCCGCGGUAAUACCGGCGGCUCGAGUGGUGGCCACUAUUACUGGGCUUAAAGCGUUCGUAGCUGGUCUGUUAAGUCUCUGGGGAAAUCUUCCGGCUUAACCGGAAGGCGUCUCAGGGAUACUGGCAGACUAGGGACCGGAAGAGGUGAGAGGUACUUCAGGGGUAGGAGUGAAAUCCUGUAAUCCUUGAGGGACCACCUGUGGCGAAGGCGUCUCACCAGGACGGCUCCGACAGUGAGGAACGAAAGCUGGGGGAGCAAACCGGAUUAGAUACCCGGGUAGUCCCAGCUGUAAAUGAUGCACGUUAGGUGUAUCGGUGACCACGAGUCACCGAGGUGCCGAAGAGAAAUCGUGAAACGUGCCGCCUGGGAAGUACGGUCGCAAGGCUGAAACUUAA